This 999-nucleotide ribosomal RNA is filed under the name Burkholderiaceae bacterium BHJ38c. RNAcentral describes it as "bacterial SSU rRNA". It matches the Rfam family "Bacterial small subunit ribosomal RNA", at positions 66 to 1057 of the family's 1533-position model. Lineage: Bacteria; Pseudomonadati; Pseudomonadota; Betaproteobacteria; Burkholderiales; Burkholderiaceae. The record is from RNAcentral.
ACGGCAGCACGGGGGCAACCCUGGUGGCGAGUGGCGAACGGGUGAGUAAUACAUCGGAACGUGUCCUGUAGUGGGGGAUAGCCCGGCGAAAGCCGGAUUAAUACCGCAUACGAUCUACGGAAGAAAGCGGGGGAUCCUUCGGGACCUCGCGCUAUAGGGGCGGCCGAUGGCAGAUUAGCUAGUUGGUGGGGUAAAGGCCUACCAAGGCGACGAUCUGUAGCUGGUCUGAGAGGACGACCAGCCACACUGGGACUGAGACACGGCCCAGACUCCUACGGGAGGCAGCAGUGGGGAAUUUUGGACAAUGGGGGCAACCCUGAUCCAGCAAUGCCGCGUGUGUGAAGAAGGCCUUCGGGUUGUAAAGCACUUUUGUCCGGAAAGAAAACCUACCUGUUAAUACCGGGUGGGGAUGACGGUACCGGAAGAAUAAGCACCGGCUAACUACGUGCCAGCAGCCGCGGUAAUACGUAGGGUGCGAGCGUUAAUCGGAAUUACUGGGCGUAAAGCGUGCGCAGGCGGUCUGUUAAGACCGAUGUGAAAUCCCCGGGCUUAACCUGGGAACUGCAUUGGUGACUGGCAGGCUAGAGUAUGGCAGAGGGGGGUAGAAUUCCACGUGUAGCAGUGAAAUGCGUAGAGAUGUGGAGGAAUACCGAUGGCGAAGGCAGCCCCCUGGGCCAAUACUGACGCUCAUGCACGAAAGCGUGGGGAGCAAACAGGAUUAGAUACCCUGGUAGUCCACGCCCUAAACGAUGUCAACUAGUUGUUGGGGAUUCAUUUCCUUAGUAACGUAGCUAACGCGUGAAGUUGACCGCCUGGGGAGUACGGUCGCAAGAUUAAAACUCAAAGGAAUUGACGGGGACCCGCACAAGCGGUGGAUGAUGUGGAUUAAUUCGAUGCAACGCGAAAAACCUUACCUACCCUUGACAUGGACGAAACCCGGGUGAAAGCUUGGGGUGCUCGAAAAAGAAUCGUCCCACAGGUGCUGCAUGGCUGUCGUCA